RNAcentral lists this ribosomal RNA (797 nucleotides) under uncultured Sphaerochaeta sp. RNAcentral's name for it is "bacterial SSU rRNA". It matches the Rfam family "Bacterial small subunit ribosomal RNA", at positions 8 to 795 of the family's 1533-position model. The record is from RNAcentral. Lineage: Bacteria; Pseudomonadati; Spirochaetota; Spirochaetia; Spirochaetales; Sphaerochaetaceae.
AGAGUUUGAUUCUGGCUCAGAACGAACGCUGGCGGCGCGUUUUAAGCAUGCAAGUCGAGCGGCAAGGGCCUUCGGGCCCCUAGAGCGGCGGACGGGUGAGUAACACGUGGACAAUCUGCCCCCCGGCCGGGGAUAGCCCAGGGAAACCUGGAUUAAUACCGGAUGAGACGGGACCCGCGGAGGCGGGAUCCGGGAAAGGCGCUGCGGCGCCGCCGGGGGAUGAGUCUGCGUCCCAUUAGCUUGACGGCGGGGUAACGGCCCACCGUGGCGACGAUGGGUAGCCGGCCUGAGAGGGUGUACGGCCACAUUGGAACUGAGACACGGUCCAGACUCCUACGGGAGGCAGCAGCUAAGAAUCUUCCGCAAUGGGCGAAAGCCUGACGGAGCGACGCCGCGUGAACGAAGAAGGCCGUGAGGUUGUAAAGUUCUUUUCGGGAGGGGGAACAACCGUGGCAGGGAAUGGCCGCGGGAUGACGUGAAUCCCGGAAUAAGCCCCGGCUAACUACGUGCCAGCAGCCGCGGUAACACGUAGGGGGCGAGCGUUGUUCGGAAUCAUUGGGCGUAAAGGGCGUGCAGGCGGUCCUGCAAGUCCGGCGUGAAAGACCCCGGCCCAACCGGGGGGGCGCGCUGGAAACUGCAGGGCUUGAGUACAGGAGGGGAUGCCGGAAUUCCAGGUGUAGGGGUGAAAUCUGUAGAUAUCUGGAGGAACACCAAUGGCGAAGGCAGGCAUCUGGCCAUGUACUGACGCUGAGACGCGAAGGUGCGGGGAGCAAACAGGAUUAGAUACCCUGGUAGUC